GGGCUCGUAAUUUGGGGUUGGGUUUAAUGGGUUUGGUUUAGGUUUUAGGCUAGGCUAGUGUUUGGGUAGUUUAGGUUAAAAUGAUUUGGGCCACGUUAGGCCCAUGUAUUUGGACUGUGGACUUUUAAACUUUGGUUUGGUUUAUUUUAUUUUAUUUUUAUAUUUUUGUUUAUUUAUUUCUGAUUUGGGCCGGGCAAAUUUGGGUUAUUACAAUAACUAUUCAAGAAACUGCUUGAAUAGUUGUGUUUAUUUGAUAAAUGUUACCGGAAUAAUUAUAUCUUUUACUUUAUAGUAGUUAUACAUGUUUAAGAGAUAUUAGUUGAACAAUUAUGUCUCUUUUAAAUAUGUGAUUAUUCAUUAAAAAAACACCUAUUGAAAGUUAUG
This 384-nucleotide long non-coding RNA is filed under the name Gossypium raimondii (Peruvian cotton). Its description in RNAcentral is "long non-coding RNA (GRAI_LNC001630)". Lineage: Eukaryota; Viridiplantae; Streptophyta; Magnoliopsida; Malvales; Malvaceae. The record is from RNAcentral.